GCCCAGACUCAAAGUGCAAAUUUGAAGCACCCCAAAGGGUGCCGGGGCUUCUCCCGUUUUAAUCGAGACGGGAGAAGA
RNAcentral lists this transfer RNA (78 nucleotides) under Cyrtodactylus aequalis. RNAcentral describes it as "tRNA-Cys". The record is from RNAcentral. Lineage: Eukaryota; Metazoa; Chordata; Lepidosauria; Squamata; Gekkonidae.